GCGGACGUGGCGAAAUCGGUAGACGCAGGGGACUUAAAAUCCCCCUCUUCUGGAGUGCGGGUUCGAGUCCCGCCGUCCGCACCA
Molecule: transfer RNA, 84 nt
Filed under: Sphingomonas sp. 12-62-6
Lineage: Bacteria; Pseudomonadati; Pseudomonadota; Alphaproteobacteria; Sphingomonadales; Sphingomonadaceae
Also listed under: 2 other names
Description: tRNA-Leu
Rfam family: tRNA
About the family: Transfer RNA (tRNA) molecules are approximately 80 nucleotides in length. Their secondary structure includes four short double-helical elements and three loops (D, anti-codon, and T loops).
Source: RNAcentral